Molecule: long non-coding RNA, 176 nt
Organism: Sander lucioperca (pikeperch)
Lineage: Eukaryota; Metazoa; Chordata; Actinopteri; Perciformes; Percidae
Exons: 3
Source: RefSeq, a predicted model, not a curated record
CCUCCAACUGAGAUUGAAGACGUAAAUGUGACGUGAGCAGCCUGUCUGAAAGUUGGAAGUCUUCUGGUAGCUGUGCCAAGAGAAAUCUCAAUCAUUCCCAAUCUUACAGAGAUGGAGAGCGUGAGUAGGAGCUGUCCAUGAGCGUAGGAGCUGGAGCAAAACGAAAUAUGUGGUUU